This is a long non-coding RNA of Falco peregrinus (peregrine falcon), 1161 nucleotides long. RefSeq lists it as uncharacterized. The record is from RefSeq and is a predicted model, not a curated record. The transcript is spliced from 3 exons. Lineage: Eukaryota; Metazoa; Chordata; Aves; Falconiformes; Falconidae.
GUUUUCUCUGCCCAGGAUGACUGUUUUAAGGCCUGAAGACACUUCUAGAGCCAUCCCCUGAGUCACCAGCCUCCAUGUUUCUGCCAGAAAAAGCUGUUGUAUCACAUCCAGAGCCAGGAGCUGUUGCCUCGCACUGGGGCAGACUGGACUCUAGUCCCUCAUAAACGCAGUGUCUGCCCAGCAAUAUCCUGCCAGGAAGGAGAGAAGUUCCUAGGCACUGCCAAGUAUCAAACAUCGAGAGCGUGUCCCAUCGAGACAAGGCCACACGGCAGCAUCCAUGUGUGGGCACAGCCACUGAGUCCUUCCUACAGGCAGUCUGAAUUCAGCUGAUCACACACUGAGAGCCGUGUCUAUCAACAUACUGUGAAUGGUGGACCCAGGCCCAAGCACUGUAUACUGCCAAACGCAUCAGUACCAAACGCAAGGGUGGUGGAAUCACUCCUUGUUACUGCUGAUGUUACACCACAGAAUAACAGAAGUGUUGAUUGGAAGGACCAGCUUUGGAGACAUGUUGCCUUAAAGGGUAAGGCAGAUCUUAACUUCCUUUGACAACCUGGACCUGGUUCCUUUCUUUAUUAGCCACCCUUACAAACAGCUGAAGGCUGUAGCACGGAGGAUCAGCAGUACUACAAGGUCUCUAGGAGUCCCUGUUGUGUCAGUCACUAAGGAUGCAGACAUACAGUGGCAUGCCUCUCUGCCCAGCUGCAACAGAAAGAGCCCAAUUCAAUGCUAACCCUUAAGCAAAUAGUGCGCUGACCUCCCAGUUAAUAGAGUGGCCCUUCUUGCUUAUUUUAUUCCCAGCAUUUGAACCACAGCACAUUCCAGUUGGGUAAAAAGACUUUGCUGUUUGGAGCAUACUGGAGUCAGGUGGUGAGCAUACCAACCGCCAGACAGGAUGCUGUGCUUCCUGUGAGAGUAAAUACUGAAAGUCAUGCAGAGCAUCUUUCAUUCUGGCUUGGCCGCAACAGCCAGUACAGCCGCUGGAAAGGAAGGGACUUCACAGAGACAGAGAGAUUAUUCUCUUCUGGCUUAGAGACUACCUGGCCUUUUAAUCAUCUUUGAAAGCCUGUCUUUUAAAGGCUGCUCACUUUGUUGACACAAUGUGCACCCGCAAACCCCCAUCUGCUGGGAGCUUGCAGUCUCCCUCAGGGAUCUGCCAUG